GUGAAAUUAGCUGUACAAAGUCAGUAGUUUAAAACUGUUGAUCAAGAAACAAAAUGAAAAAUGAACAGCAGGUGGCAGUACUAUCAAGAGCAGUGAUUCUGAUGAGUGUCAUCAGCUAGUGUUCGUGUACUGUCCGUUCUUCUGCAAAAGAAAGAUACUGAGACACUCUUUUCUUGCAUGAAAUAGAGCAAGUGAGAAGGCAGGGUGCUCCAUGUUUUGAGCUAAUUAGUGGGACGCUGGUGGAAGCAAGACAUAUGCCCAGAACCAGGUGGAAGGCUUUGUUUUCCUGGAGCCAGCUGUCGGGAUUGCCUUCUGGCAGCAUCUUUUGUAAAAUGAAAGAAGCACAAUAGAAAAAAAAAUUAGAAAUAAAGAAAAAGACUCCUCUGACUAAACUGGGCUAUACAGUCUGAUUAUUUCAGUGAAGGAUCUUAGUGCAUGUAUCACACACUGACAGAGCUUUAGAAAAUUGUUAAAGGAGCUGACUCGGAACUGUGAACUACAGAGGUCAUUCUUCUGAUCAUGAUGCUGUAUGGAUGCUGGAGCUGAAAAAGGAGAGAGGAGGAUUCUUUCAGGAAAUGAACUGCGCUGUGAUUAUGGAGCUGACUAAGUUUUAGUGACCUCUCAGCUGUCCUUCUAAGGAGCCGUGAUAUGGCAUUCCUAAAUAAUAUGAGGCCUAAAUGGCAUACAAUUCUCAAAAUUUGAAAAGCUAUAGUAAGUAAAAUACAUAAAUUAAAUGUGGUAAGCUAUACAAUUGUGUAUAUUUUAUUCUGUUUCUCAAUAACUUCCAAAUCAGAGAGUCAAGAAAAGUAAGAGUCUGAAGACAGAAUGAAAAGAGGGGUCUGUAUGGUGUAUGGUCCAUCAACACCGUUGAAAGGCUGUUAUAAACUAGAGUGGAUCAAAAUGCAUCAUGAGCAAAGGUGUCAUACACUUUUUCCUGUGCACUUUGCCCCUCAGAAAGAUUACUGUGCUCUUCAGAAAGCACUCCCCAUAGUUUAGCCAAAAGUUUCAGUUUGUACAAAAUGUAUAAUAUGUAUAUAUAUAUUUUUUCCCUCUUUGUAAGAAAAGAUUAGAUACUUCAGGAUGUUUUUGACCAAUCUAGGCAUGGAACCAAAAUUGAAACUAGUUGUAAACUAGAUCUUAGGUCUUUAGGAUAACCUUUAAAAUGGCCAGUGCCUGAUUUGUGGAUACAGUGGUGCUGCAAAAUGUCUGCAGGAUGACUGAGAACUGUAAACUGUGAUUCUAGAUUUAUAGGAAAUACCAUAGCUUUGAUAUACUGGGAACAGUUUGGCAGACUGUUUUUGCUUUUUUUGCAGAAAUGGGAUGGCUUUUUGAGCAUACUUCUUGAGACAUUUGGGGUUUUUACUCAAUGUAGAUCAGGAUGCUUCAAGAAUGUUAUCUGUUGCACUCCUGUAUUUUGCAAAUGCAAUUGAUUCUGUAAUUAGCUGUGCCAAAUGUAUGCUUAGUGAAGAACCUGCUUUUUUGAAGUGCUUGCCAGAAGCACAUGAUUUAUCAUGCCUUUUAUAAACACACAAAUAUUGACAUGCGUAGCAAUUUAAGCUAGCAUUUGCAAGUUCAUGGUGUAACAGGUAACAGUAAGUAGUUAUUACUAGUGUGAUAAUUGUACUAAGGGGUCCCAGAAUGUAAUAGUAACAAAGUCUAUGGCUAAUUAAUUUUGCUAACAUGAAAAGAACAUCUAGUCAAACACGCAUAGUCUAGAUUAAAUCCGAAUUUUUGCUUUUUAAAGUCUGUGCCUUCUGCAGAGAAUCAUGUGUUUCCUGACCACUUCUAGAUAAAUAUAUGUCUUUUCUGAAGUCAUUUAGUAUCUGAGUAUCUAAGAUCCCAGUCUACACUGGCUAAUAGAAACUGCUGAGCACAGGGUAGAAAAAGA
Non-coding RNA from Cyanistes caeruleus (blue tit), 1888 nucleotides. The record is from RefSeq and is a predicted model, not a curated record. Lineage: Eukaryota; Metazoa; Chordata; Aves; Passeriformes; Paridae.